CCCUAUGGGGUGCAGCAGGCGGAUCACUAAGUCAGGGGUGAAAAAUUUCAGCUUAACUGGAAUCGUGCCUUUGAUACUGUUGGACUAGAGUAUCAUUGACGUGACUGGAAUGUGAUGUGUAGCGGUGAAAUGCUUAGAUAUGUCACAGAACGCCAAUCGUGAAGACCGGUCACGAAAUUAUUACUGACGCUCAUGCACGAAAGCGUGGGGAUCAAACA
Molecule: ribosomal RNA, 218 nt
Filed under: uncultured prokaryote
Description: partial 16S ribosomal RNA
Rfam family: Bacterial small subunit ribosomal RNA
Source: RNAcentral